UUAAACUCAAAUUGGAUCUCGUGUUCUGAUUGUAGCGCGUCCCAUCGUGUUUCUCAUCAUUUGGAGUGUUGGAUUUGCCACGUCAAUUAAUAAGGCGUGAUCCAACGCUCUUGGUUUUUUCUGAUUUUAAUUAUUUUUAUUUUAUUAUUUUAAAUUGCUUUUUAUUUAAAAAAUUGUAGUAAUUUCAUUUUUUAUCCAAAAAUUCCCAAAAUAAUUUCUAAAAUU
RNAcentral lists this long non-coding RNA (225 nucleotides) under Lathyrus oleraceus (garden pea). Its description in RNAcentral is "Pisum sativum (pea) long non-coding RNA (PSAT_LNC033554)". Lineage: Eukaryota; Viridiplantae; Streptophyta; Magnoliopsida; Fabales; Fabaceae. The record is from RNAcentral.